GUUGGGCAUGGUGGCACAUGCCUGUAAUCCCAGAACCCAGGAAGCUGAGGCAAGAGUUUUACAAGUUUGAGACCAGCCUAAGCAACUCAGCUAGACCCUGUCUCAA
This 106-nucleotide small RNA is filed under the name Marmota monax (woodchuck). The record is from RNAcentral. Lineage: Eukaryota; Metazoa; Chordata; Mammalia; Rodentia; Sciuridae.